Molecule: ribosomal RNA, 253 nt
Filed under: uncultured bacterium
Lineage: Bacteria
Description: partial 16S ribosomal RNA
Rfam family: Bacterial small subunit ribosomal RNA
Source: RNAcentral
CGUAGGGGCUAGCGUUGUCCGGAAUCAUUGGGCGUAAAGCGCGUGUAGGCGGUUCGGUAAGUCCGCUGUGAAAGUCGGGGCUCAACCCUCGAAUGCCGGUGGAUACUGUCGGGCUAGAGUGCGGAAGAGGCGAGUGGAAUUCCUGGUGUAGCGGUGAAAUGCGCAGAUAUCAGGAGGAACACCAAUUGCGAAGGCAGCUCGCUGGGACGUUACUGACGCUGAGACGCGAAAGCGUGGGGGAGCAAACAGGAUU